Molecule: ribosomal RNA, 253 nt
Filed under: uncultured bacterium
Lineage: Bacteria
Description: partial 16S ribosomal RNA
Rfam family: Bacterial small subunit ribosomal RNA
Source: RNAcentral
UCCGAAGGGGGCUAGCGUUGUUCGGCUUUACUGGGCGUAAAGCGCACGUAGGCGGAUUGUUAAGUCAGGGGUGAAAUCCCGGAGCUCAACUCCGGAACUGCCUUUGAUACUGGCAAUCUUGAGGCUGGAAGAGGUUAGUGGAAUUCCCAGUGUAGAGGUGAAAUUCGUAGAUAUUGGGAAGAACACCAGUGGCGAAGGCGGCUAACUGGUCCAGAUCUGACGCUGAGGUGCGAAAGCGUGGGGAGCAAACAGG